GUAUCAGCCAUUUACCCCACUUCCCUCCACAUUUCAUCAAGUGGUCAUGCUAGAGACAUAAACAGUCAUGGAUAAUUAUGAGAUGAGAUCCUUCCGAAUGGGGUAAGAGAAAGAAUACCUAGAACGAUUAGUCUAUUAUUUUAGUUCUCUCUCCUUUUCUUAAUUGAAGAAAUAAUUGGAAAAUAAAACAGCAAGUACAAAAAUGAGUAAUAACCCCCAGUAGAGGCUGGUACGAUUCAAUUCAACAUUUUGUUCGUUUGGGUUUGAUUGUGUCGUAGCUCUAUAAUUCGGAUUAGGUUUAUCGUUGUAUGAACUGCAUUGCUGAUAUUGACCCCAAAAAAGAAACGGUAGGUACAGCUAGGCCGUGAACAGUCAACCAUCGCACUGUAAAAAUUGGAUAGGUUCGAUCUAUGGUCAUUGAAGCCUCCUAAAAAGAUCUACUAAAUUCAUCGAGUUGUUCCAAAGAAUCAAAACGGCCGGUGAUUAAUGGAAUUCCUUGUCGGUUUUCUGUGAAAUACUCGUUUGGCCGAGGGCUUCCAAACACAUCGUAAGCUAAACCAGUGCUGACGAAUAACCAACCCGCAAUGAAUAGGGAAGGUAUAGUAAUGCUAUGAAUGACCCAGUAGCGAAUACUGGUAAUAAUAUCAGCAANUGGUAGGUACAGCUAACAGUCAACCAUCGCACUGUAAAAAUUGGAUAGGUUCGAUCUAUGGUCAUUGAAGCCUCCAAAAAAGAUCUACUAAAUUCAUCGAGUUGUUCCAAAGAAUCAAAACGGCCGGUGAUUA
Molecule: long non-coding RNA, 785 nt
Filed under: Lactuca sativa (garden lettuce)
Lineage: Eukaryota; Viridiplantae; Streptophyta; Magnoliopsida; Asterales; Asteraceae
Description: long non-coding RNA (LSAT_LNC001495)
Source: RNAcentral